This 250-nucleotide unclassified non-coding RNA is filed under the name Hevea brasiliensis (rubber tree). The record is from RNAcentral. Lineage: Eukaryota; Viridiplantae; Streptophyta; Magnoliopsida; Malpighiales; Euphorbiaceae.
GUUGGGUUUUCAUCUUCAACUGGUGCUAGCACAGAGAUACAUAAUAUUCUUUCAUGGGAGUUCAAUUCAACUGAAAUUUCAUCCAAGCCAGAUGUUGGAAGCGGAGGCGGGGGAGGUGGUGGGCAGAGCAUAGGUAUAAUAAUUGGUAGUGUGGCUGGUGGACUUGCUGCAAUUGGUGGGUUGAUCUCAAUAUUGAUCUUUUCUUGGAGGAGAAACAGGAGGAAGAAAGAAGAUGUUGAAUCAGAUGAUU